UUUUUCCUACGGGGGGCAGCAGUGGGGAAUAUUGCACAAUGGGGGAAACCCUGAUGCAGCGACGCCGCGUGAGUGAAGAAGUAUUUCGGUAUGUAAAGCUCUAUCAGCAGGGAAGAUAAUGACGGUACCUGACUAAGAAGCCCCGGCUAACUACGUGCCAGCAGCCGCGGUAAUACGUAGGGGGCAAGCGUUAUCCGGAUUCACUGGGCGUAAAGGGAGCGCAGGCGGCAUGGCAAGUCUGAUGUGAAAACCCGGGGCCCAACCCCGGGAGUGCAUUGGAAACUGCCAGGCUGGAGUGUCGGAGG
Molecule: ribosomal RNA, 305 nt
Filed under: uncultured bacterium
Lineage: Bacteria
Description: bacterial SSU rRNA
Rfam family: Bacterial small subunit ribosomal RNA
Source: RNAcentral